RNAcentral lists this ribosomal RNA (264 nucleotides) under uncultured bacterium. RNAcentral describes it as "partial small subunit ribosomal RNA". It matches the Rfam family "Bacterial small subunit ribosomal RNA", at positions 26 to 291 of the family's 1533-position model. The record is from RNAcentral.
AGGACGAACGCUGGCGGCGUGCUUAACACAUGCAAGUCACGGGGGCCAGCAAUGGCAACCGGCGAACGGGUGCGUAACACGUGAGCAACCUGCCGAUCUGAGGGGGAUAGCCGGCCCAACGGCCGGGUAAUACCGCAUACGUUUCUUGAGGGACCUCCCUUGGGAAAGAAACCUGGGGUCACACUUGGGGCAGAUUGAGGGGCUCGCGGCCUAUCAGCUAGUUGGUGGGGUAACGGCUCACCAAGGCGACGACGGGUAGCUGGU